This 361-nucleotide transfer RNA is filed under the name uncultured Microcystis sp. RNAcentral's name for it is "partial 16S-23S ribosomal RNA intergenic spacer". The stretch from base 136 to 209 matches the Rfam family "tRNA". The record is from RNAcentral. Lineage: Bacteria; Bacillati; Cyanobacteriota; Cyanophyceae; Chroococcales; Microcystaceae.
AAAGGGAGACCUAAUUCCGGUAGGAGACGAAAAAAAAGUAGUCCCAACCAAGAAUCAAUCCCAAAAGGUCGGAGCGAGGCGAAAUUGGCUUUCAAACUAGGUUCUGGGUUCAAACAAGACCUGAAUCAGGAACAAGGGCUAUUAGCUCAGGUGGUUAGAGCGCACCCCUGAUAAGGGUGAGGUCCCUGGUUCGAGUCCAGGAUGGCCCACCUGCACAGGUGGCAAAAACAAGAGAAGCGAGGAAUCAGCACCUUAUCUUACUGACAUAGUAAGAGAGAAUGCUGGCUCUGAGUAAAGAGUCCAGAGGAACCUUGAAAACUGCAUAGAGCUAGGUGAAAAAGCCAAAAAAGAAGACCGCAAG